This is a long non-coding RNA of Priapulus caudatus, 284 nucleotides long. RefSeq lists it as uncharacterized. The record is from RefSeq and is a predicted model, not a curated record. The transcript is spliced from 3 exons. NCBI's taxonomy places the organism in Eukaryota, Metazoa, Priapulida, Priapulimorpha, Priapulimorphida, Priapulidae.
GUCCCGCCACAGCGCUGGGUCGUGAACUUUGACCAGGACCUCCAGGAUGGAUUGGUGAUGGCCACCAUGCUUGCAGCGUAUUGUCCAUUCUUGGUGGAUAGUCACCUGGCAGGGAUGUACUCGGACCCGCAGACUCCUGAGCAGUGUCUGCACAACUCCCUCCGCAUCGUCAGCAUCUUCCGAUUCCUCGGGCUUCAGUAUGAUAUUCAGGCGAUCGAUUUAACGGAUCAUAACCCGGUGGCGAUGCUGCUGCUGUGUACCUACCUCUAUCAGAUGCUGCGCAG